RNAcentral lists this ribosomal RNA (610 nucleotides) under Phanerochaete australis. RNAcentral describes it as "partial large subunit ribosomal RNA". It matches the Rfam family "Eukaryotic large subunit ribosomal RNA", at positions 50 to 645 of the family's 3401-position model. The record is from RNAcentral. Lineage: Eukaryota; Fungi; Basidiomycota; Agaricomycetes; Polyporales; Phanerochaetaceae.
GCGGAGGAAAAGAAACUAACAAGGAUUCCCCUAGUAACUGCGAGUGAACCGGGAAAAGCUCAAAUUUAAAAUCUGGCAGCCUUGGCUGUCCGAGUUGUAAUCUGGAGAAGCGUCUUCCGCGCUGGACCGUGUACAAGUCUCCUGGAACGGAGCGUCAUAGAGGGUGAGAAUCCCGUCUUUGACACGGACUACCAGUGCUCUGUGAUGCGCUCUCAAAGAGUCGAGUUGUUUGGGAAUGCAGCUCAAAAUGGGUGGUAAACUCCAUCUAAAGCUAAAUAUUGGCGAGAGACCGAUAGCGAACAAGUACCGUGAGGGAAAGAUGAAAAGCACUUUGGAAAGAGAGUUAAACAGUACGUGAAAUUGCUGAAAGGGAAACGCUUGAAGUCAGUCGCGUUUGCUAGGACUCAGCCUUGCCUCGGCUUGGUGCAUUUCCUAGUAGACGGGCCAGCAUCACUUUUGGCUGCGGGAAAAAGGUUAGAGGAAUGUGGCACCCUCGGGUGUGUUAUAGCCUCUAGCUGUAUACCGUGGCUGGGAGUGAGGAACUCAGCACGCCUUCUGGCGGGGCUUCGGCCACCUUCGUGCUUAGGAUGCUGGCGUAAUGGCUUUAAAC